Molecule: ribosomal RNA, 443 nt
Filed under: Epiphragmophora tomsici
Lineage: Eukaryota; Metazoa; Mollusca; Gastropoda; Stylommatophora; Epiphragmophoridae
Description: partial large subunit ribosomal RNA
Rfam family: Bacterial large subunit ribosomal RNA
Source: RNAcentral
UGUUUAUCAAAAACAUAACAACAUGUAAAAAUAUGUUGCAUCUCCUGCUCAAUGAGUAUUAAAUAGCCGCAGUACCUUGACUGUGCAAAGGUAGCAUAAUCAGUUGGCCUAUAAUUGGGGUCUAGUAUGAACGGAUUAAUGGAUAAACGCUGUCUCCUUUACAUUAAAUAGAAAUUAAUAAGUAAGUGAAAAAGCUUACAGAGCAUGAAAGACGAGAAGACCCUAGAAAUUUUUUACACAAUGUACUAUCUCCUAUUUUGUUGGGGCGACAAAACAACAUGUAACUUGUUUUAUACCAUAAGAAUUUUUGAUGGAAGAUUAAAUUACUCUAGGGAUAACAGCAUAAUUUUUAAAAGUUUGUGACCUCGAUGUUGGACUAGGGAGGCUGCCCCGCAAAAGGGGGAAGUCCUCGUUCUGUUCGAACGGUGUACCCUACAUGAUCU